GACGAACGCUGGCGGCGUGCCUAAUACAUGCAAGUCGAGCGAAGUUUUUCUGGUGCUUGCACCGGAAAAACUUAGCGGCGAACGGGUGAGUAACACGUAAAGAACCUGCCUCAUAGACUGGGACAACUAUUGGAAACGAUAGCUAAUACCGGAUAACAGCAUUAACUGCAUGGUUGAUGUUUAAAAGUUGGUUUUGCUAACACUAUGAGAUGGCUUUGCGGUGCAUUAGCUAGUUGGUAAGGUAACGGCUUACCAAGGCAAUGAUGCAUAGCCGAGUUGAGAGACUGAUCGGCCACAUUGGGACUGAGACACGGCCCAAACUCCUACGGGAGGCAGCAGUAGGGAAUCUUCCACAAUGGACGCAAGUCUGAUGGAGCAACGCCGCGUGGGUGAAGAAGGGUUUCGGCUCGUAAAGCUCUGUUGGUAGUGAAGAAAGAUAGAGGUAGUAACUGGCCUUUAUUUGACGGUAAUUACUUAGAAAGUCACGGCUAACUACGUGCCAGCAGCCGCGGUAAUACGUAGGUGGCAAGCGUUGUCCGGAUUUAUUGGGCGUAAGCGAGUGCAGGCUGGUUCAAUAAGUCUGAUGUGAAAUCCUUCGGCUCAACCGGAGAAUUGCAUUCAAAACUGUUGAACUUGAGUGCAGAAGAGGAGAGUGGAACUCCAUGUG
This 667-nucleotide ribosomal RNA is filed under the name uncultured Lactobacillus sp. Its description in RNAcentral is "bacterial SSU rRNA". It matches the Rfam family "Bacterial small subunit ribosomal RNA", at positions 28 to 675 of the family's 1533-position model. Lineage: Bacteria; Bacillati; Bacillota; Bacilli; Lactobacillales; Lactobacillaceae. The record is from RNAcentral.